This is a non-coding RNA of Spirochaetes bacterium GWB1_36_13, 73 nucleotides long. Lineage: Bacteria; Pseudomonadati; Spirochaetota. The record is from Rfam.
GGGCGGUUAGCUCAACUGGGAGAGCAUCUGCCUUACAAGCAGGAGGUCACAGGUUCGAUCCCUGUACCGCCCA